CCGAAGGCUGAUGUCCACCUCCACCUUGUAAAGAUCCAUGAGUCCAUCCACCUAGUCCCUUUGCCAAACACUUUCUGGGGGACCAUGAAAAUGAAUCUGACCUGGGUCUUGACCCUGAGGAGCCCACUGUCUAACAGGAACCCCUCUGCUCACCAGCUCCCUCACCUUCACAUUUAUUCCUGGUGCCAGUGCACAGAGGAACACAAAUGAGCUGAUGGCACAGGGACUGAUGGACAGGACACGUUGGCUGACCCUGGGCUCACUGUCCAUCCCUCAUCCAGGUGCUCACCUCCUGGACUGACCGGGGAAGCUCCAGGCAGGGCCUGUGGUUACGAGGUGCCAGCUUCAGAAGGCUGCCACUCCCCAGUGCCCUUCUGAGGGGGAGAUGUGGGCUGCUCUGCUCCCCAUUGUGUAGUCACAGCUGUGCAGUCUAGGCCAGGCACCCAGGCCAAGAAGGACUAGUGUGCACAAAGCCACACACUGGUCAGGGAUGAUCUCUACUGAAGGGUGACUGACAUAGCCAAUCACACCUUCUAUCUCAGGAAGGUUGGACUGAAACUGUGCAGAGAAAGCCAGAGGUCAGGGGAGGGGACAGAGUGCAAUUCAAGGUCACAGUGAGCAGAAACCUUAGUGUCAGACCCAGAGACAUCGCUUACUUGGGUUCACCUCCUUGAUGACAUUCCUGUCCCCACAAGGCCUCUUCAGUGCGCUGCUUUCCUUCUUCCUGCAUUCUGACCACAAGCCCCAGUCACUGAAGAUAUCCUGGGUGAGCCUACAUUUUUGCAAUCUCAGGUACCUGGAAAACAACUCCUUUAUUUGUCUGCUCCUGCAUUCAGCCGUGCAUGCCUGCACUCAACACAUGCUCUGUGCAGGGCCCUGGAGACACAGGACCUAUAGAAAGGGUCCUCCUUCAGGAACAAACUGAGCAGCAGCCCCUGAUGGAGGUCCAUGGAGAAGAGUCUGGAUACAAUCCCCCAUGGGUAAUUCCACAGGGAGGACAAGGACACUGCACUCUGGCCACCCCACAUCCUGUUGUUGGAAGGUGUUGAGGGCCUAGAGACAUGGAGCAGAUGCAAAGUGUCCCAGGGCCCAGCCUGCUGCUCUGCUUGUCCAGAGGCCAAGUCAGACCUGUCAGAGGCAACUCCCUGCAGAUAGUGCCCUCUCUCUUCAUGCUUCUCUCUAAUGAGGAUGGAUGGUUUACUCUCUAGUUCAAG
RNAcentral lists this long non-coding RNA (1214 nucleotides) under Equus caballus (horse). RNAcentral's name for it is "lncRNA (ENSECAG00000052968.1)". Lineage: Eukaryota; Metazoa; Chordata; Mammalia; Perissodactyla; Equidae. The record is from RNAcentral.